GCCUACGGGGGGCAGCAGUAGGGAAUCUUCCACAAUGGACGAAAGUCUGAUGGAGCAACACCGCGUGAGUGAAGAAGGGUUUCGGCUCGUAAAGCUCUGUUGGUAGUGAAGAAAGAUAGAGGGAGUAACUGGCCUCUAUUUGACGGUAAUUACUUAGAAAGUCACGGCUAACUACGUGCCAGCAGCCGCGGUAAUACGUAGGCGGCAAGCGUUGUCCGGAUUUAUUGGGCGUAAAGCGAGUGCAGGCGGGUCAAUAAGUCUUGUUUGAAA
This 270-nucleotide ribosomal RNA is filed under the name uncultured bacterium. Its description in RNAcentral is "partial 16S ribosomal RNA". It matches the Rfam family "Bacterial small subunit ribosomal RNA", at positions 337 to 599 of the family's 1533-position model. The record is from RNAcentral.